GGAUAAUUGUUGCUUUUGGUCCCUCAUCGCCUCACACCCGAUUAAAGAUUCACAUAUCUAAAACUUGAACAUGACACAUGAUGACACAAGAGAAUUUGAUCACCGAGUUCCCGGCCUCUAACCCGUACGUCUCGGGUGGGAAUUGUCUCCCACAACUUCCACUAUAUGAAGAGGUUACACACACCACUAACUUGUGAUGUUCUUUGGUUUACAGAUUUUGGUACACAAGAGGAUACAAAAACAAGAACACAACAAAGAAGGAGAAAGCUUCUUGAAGAAGAACCCUUUUUUCUUCUCUUUCUCUAGAACUCUCUUUGAUGUCUUGUCUCUCACCUACCUCCACUUUAUUGAUCGAUGAAACACACUUAUACAUGUAUGCAUUGGGCCAAAUCAUUUCCAGAAUCUUAUUCUCCUUUCCUUAAUGCCAAUUUCGUCUGGCCCAUUAAGGCCCAUUUGUUUUGUGUUUGUCAAACCCAACAACAAUCUCCACCUUUUGACAAAACAAAACACUCAUCGACAACAAGAAAUCUGAAACCAACCUCUCCUCUUCUUCUGUUCGUGAAGCCAAACUUCAGCGAACCUCCUCCGACAAACUCCGCCUCCUUAUCCGGUGAGCAUCUCUCUUCUCCGGUGGCAACCAGUUUUUUUUUUUUCUUUCACCGAGCCCUCUCGUUCUCGACAUGGAGAAGAUGUAGCUUCUUACUUCCCCAUGGUAUAGCGGAAUUGGAGGCUAAUUCCGGUCAUCCCUGCAUGUUUUCCGGCGAAGCCAAGCUUCAGUCUCCACCUGUUUCACGGCGGCUCCCAAUUCCGGUGAAUCAAGAGACAUUAUCUCCAUAUCUCAACUUUGGUUCGAUGAACCAUGUAUCACCACCAUUCUCGCUGGCAAUCUCCUUCAGCUGCGAUCACUACCGGUGGAGCUCUUCUCUUUCCUCUUUGGUGAUUUAAUUUGUAGAACCCGAGACAUCAACUUUGUCUCUUAUCCAUGCCUCUUCUCCCGAGCUGUUCCGUUUUCACCCGCGAAUCACGCCAUCGCCGUCACCGUCCAGCUCAGGUACCCUCUAAUCUCUCUCUUGUCUCUUCCUGACACUUAGUGAUUAGGAUCUUCUGAGAAUUGCCAUUUUGAAUCCAUUUUAGGUGAUGAGCUCCACCUGGAACCAAUUACUCUCCAUCAUGGCUCCACAACCUUUUCCAGGUAACUCCUUCACAGCCCUGUCUCUUCCGAUUUCCAAAAGACUCAUGAAACUCUAACUUCAGUUUCAUGUCUACUCUCACAGCAGCUCUAGUGUUGAACAUCCCAUGUUCUUCUUUCUCCUUGAUGACUUCAAGUAAUCUCCUAACCAUGAAUCAUCUUCCUCUCUAGCUGCUGGAGUUUUCCCCCUUUGAGCCACCAAAAUCCUUACUUGGAUUUUCUGAAUUUUCAUCUCAGAAACUCCACUUGGAAUCAGUCUCCAACUCUCGACAACUGAUUCUCCAGUCUCCACAACUCCACCUGGAAUCUAAGUCUCUUCACAGUAAUACCAGAUGCCUACAGCGUAUAAUGUCGAUUGGGGUUACCUGGAGCUGUAUCUUCCUUCAGACGACAUUGAGGAGAUCAUAGCAGGCUUGUUUCCCUUCCUCACACUUCUGCAUUUUCCUUCCUUUGCAGCAACUCCGACGAUCUGUUUCGUCCUUUUUGCUGUUCCAAUGACUCCAGGUAAACAAUUGUACCUUGAA
Non-coding RNA from Camelina sativa (false flax), 1713 nucleotides. The record is from RefSeq and is a predicted model, not a curated record. Lineage: Eukaryota; Viridiplantae; Streptophyta; Magnoliopsida; Brassicales; Brassicaceae.